UUUAUUGGGACUCCUACCCUCAUC
RNAcentral lists this non-coding RNA (24 nucleotides) under Arabidopsis thaliana (thale cress). The record is from RNAcentral. Lineage: Eukaryota; Viridiplantae; Streptophyta; Magnoliopsida; Brassicales; Brassicaceae.